RNAcentral lists this ribosomal RNA (494 nucleotides) under uncultured bacterium. RNAcentral describes it as "partial 16S ribosomal RNA". It matches the Rfam family "Bacterial small subunit ribosomal RNA", at positions 28 to 507 of the family's 1533-position model. The record is from RNAcentral.
GACGAACGCUGGCGGCGUGCUUAACACAUGCAAGUCGAACGGUGAAGCGCCUUCCUUUUUGGUGGGUGUGGAUGAGUGGCGAACGGGUGAGUAACACGUGAGUAACCUGCCCCCUUCUUCUGGAUAACCGCAUGAAAGUGUGGCUAAUACGGGAUAUUCUGGGUCUGUCGCAUGAUGGGUCUGGGAAAGAUAUUGUUUCGGUGGGGGAUGGGCUCGCGGCCUAUCAGCUUGUUGGGGGGGUGAUGGCCUACCAAGGCGGUGACGGGUAGCCGGCCUGGGAGGGUGGGCGGCACCACUGGGACUGAGACGCGGACCAGACUCCUGCGGGAGGCAGCAGGGAGGAAUAUUGCACAAUGGGCGCAAGCCUGAUGCAGCGACGCCGCGUGAGGGAUGGAGGCCGUCGGGUUGUGAACCUCUUUCGCCAGUGAAGCAGGCCUGCCUCGUUUGUGGGUGGGUUGACGGUAGCUGGAUAAGAAGCGCCGGCUAACUACGUG